GGGGAGCAAUCCCUGAGUAUAGUGGCGACCGGGUGAGUAACACGUGACUACCUGCCCUUGAGUGGGGGAUAACCCCGGGAAACCGGGGCUAAUACCGCAUAAUAUCGAAAGAUCAAAGGAGCAAUCCGCUUUUGGAGGGGGUCGCGGCUGAUUAGCUAGUUGGUGAGGUAAUGGCUCACCAAGGCGAAGAUCGGUAUCCGGCCUGAGAGGGCGCACGGACACACUGGAACUGAAACACGGUCCAGACUCCUACGGGAGGCAGCAGUGGGGAAUUUUGCGCAAUGGGGGAAACCCUGACGCAGCAACGCCGCGUGGAGGAUGAAGCCCCUUGGGGCGUAAACUCCUUUCGACUGGGAAGAUAAUGACGGUACCAGUGGAAGAAGCACCGGCUAACUCUGUGCCAGCAGCCGCGGUAAUACAGAGGGUGCGAGCGUUGUUCGGAAUUAUUGGGCGUAAAGGGCGCGUAGGCGGUGCGGUAAGUCACCUGUGAAACCUCUGGGCUUAACUCAGAGCCUGCAGGCGAAACUGCCGUGCUGGAGGGUGGGAGAGG
RNAcentral lists this ribosomal RNA (550 nucleotides) under uncultured bacterium. RNAcentral describes it as "bacterial SSU rRNA". It matches the Rfam family "Bacterial small subunit ribosomal RNA", at positions 74 to 657 of the family's 1533-position model. The record is from RNAcentral.